RNAcentral lists this ribosomal RNA (761 nucleotides) under Mammaliicoccus sciuri. RNAcentral's name for it is "bacterial SSU rRNA". It matches the Rfam family "Bacterial small subunit ribosomal RNA", at positions 44 to 785 of the family's 1533-position model. The record is from RNAcentral. Lineage: Bacteria; Bacillati; Bacillota; Bacilli; Caryophanales; Staphylococcaceae.
CUGUCCCAACAUGGAUCAUCGAGCGAACAGAUGAGAAGCUUGCUUCUCUGAUGUUAGCGGCGGACGGCGUGAGUAACACGUGGGUAACCUACCUAUAAGACUGGGAUAACUCCGGGAAACCGGGGCUAAUACCGGAUAAUAUUUUGAACCGCAUGGUUCAAUAGUGAAAGACGGUUUCGGCUGUCACUUAUAGAUGGACCCGCGCCGUAUUAGCUAGUUGGUAAGGUAACGGCUUACCAAGGCGACGAUACGUAGCCGACCUGAGAGGGUGAUCGGCCACACUGGAACUGAGACACGGUCCAGACUCCUACGGGAGGCAGCAGUAGGGAAUCUUCCGCAAUGGGCGAAAGCCUGACGGAGCAACGCCGCGUGAGUGAUGAAGGUCUUCGGAUCGUAAAACUCUGUUGUUAGGGAAGAACAAAUUUGUUAGUAACUGAACAAGUCUUGACGGUACCUAACCAGAAAGCCACGGCUAACUACGUGCCAGCAGCCGCGGUAAUACGUAGGUGGCAAGCGUUAUCCGGAAUUAUUGGGCGUAAAGCGCGCGUAGGCGGUUUCUUAAGUCUGAUGUGAAAGCCCACGGCUCAACCGUGGAGGGUCAUUGGAAACUGGGAAACUUGAGUGCAGAAGAGGAGAGUGGAAUUCCAUGUGUAGCGGUGAAAUGCGCAGAGAUAUGGAGGAACACCAGUGGCGAAGGCGGCUCUCUGGUCUGUAACUGACGCUGAUGUGCGAAAGCGUGGGGAUCAAACAGGAUUAGAUAC